RNAcentral lists this long non-coding RNA (199 nucleotides) under Elaeis guineensis (African oil palm). Its description in RNAcentral is "long non-coding RNA (EGUI_LNC008276)". The record is from RNAcentral. Lineage: Eukaryota; Viridiplantae; Streptophyta; Magnoliopsida; Arecales; Arecaceae.
UAUAAGUCUAUUUUUAACUAAUCGUAUUAGCUUAACCAAUAAAUUCAAUGAGAUUUUUAGUCCAUUUAUCUAAAUAGGCCCUUAGUAUUUUCUCUGCCCAAGCAUAUGCCUCAAGAAUAGAAGCCUCACUAUGUAUCAAAAAUAGAAUAGAAGUCUCGCUACCGUGUCUUAAUUUCACAAGUGGGUCGGUGUUUGUGGC